This 433-nucleotide ribosomal RNA is filed under the name uncultured bacterium. RNAcentral describes it as "partial 16S ribosomal RNA". It matches the Rfam family "Bacterial small subunit ribosomal RNA", at positions 29 to 507 of the family's 1533-position model. The record is from RNAcentral.
AACGAACGCUGGCGGCAUGCCUAACACAUGCAAGUCGAGCGAGGACUUCGGUUCUAGCGGCGGACGGGUGAGUAACGCGUGGGAAUGUGCCCUUCUCUACGGAAUAGCCCUGGGAAACUGGGAGUAAUACCGUAUACGCCCUAUUGGGGAAAGAUUUAUCGGAGAAGGAUCAGCCCGCGUUGGAUUAGGUAGUUGGUGGGGUAAUGGCCUACCAAGCCUACGAUCCAUAGCUGGUUUGAGAGGAUGACCAGCCACACUGGGACUGAGACACGGCCCAGACUCCUACGGGAGGCCGCAGUGGGGAAUCUUCGACAAUGGGGGCAACCCUGAUCUAGCCAUGCCGCGUGAGUGAUGAAGGACUUAGGGUUGUAAAGCUCUUUCAGCUGGGAAGAUAAUGACGGUACCAGCAGAAGAAGCCGCGGCUAACUCCGUG